RNAcentral lists this ribosomal RNA (509 nucleotides) under uncultured bacterium. RNAcentral describes it as "partial 16S ribosomal RNA". It matches the Rfam family "Bacterial small subunit ribosomal RNA", at positions 28 to 523 of the family's 1533-position model. The record is from RNAcentral.
GAUGAACGCUAGCUACAGGCUUAACACAUGCAAGUCGAGGGGAAACGACAUCGAAAGCUUGCUUUUGAUGGGCGUCGACCGGCGCACGGGUGAGUAACGCGUAUCCAACCUGCCCACCACUUGGGGAUAACCUUGCGAAAGUAAGACUAAUACCCAAUGAUAUCUCUAGAAGACAUCUGAAAGAGAUUAAAGAUUUAUCGGUGAUGGAUGGGGAUGCGUCUGAGUUAGCUUGUUGGCGGGGUAACGGCCCACCAAGGCGACGAUCAGUAGGGGUUCUGGGAGGAAAGUCCCCCACAUUGGAACUGAGACACGGUCCAAACUCCUACGGGAGGCAGCAGUGAGGAAUAUUGGUCAAUGGGCGAGAGCCUGAACCAGCCAAGUAGCGUGCAGGAUGACGGCCCUAUGGGUUGUAAACUGCUUUUAUAAGGGAAUAAAGUGAGUCUCGUGAGACUUUUUGCAUGUACCUUAUGAAUAAGGACCGGCUAAUUCCGUGCCAGCAGCCGCCGUAA